Molecule: ribosomal RNA, 420 nt
Filed under: Deltaproteobacteria bacterium
Lineage: Bacteria; Pseudomonadati; Myxococcota; Myxococcia
Description: bacterial SSU rRNA
Rfam family: Bacterial small subunit ribosomal RNA
Source: RNAcentral
UUUAAGUGGAGAGUUUGAUCCUGGCUCAGAACGAACGCUGGCGGCGUGCCUAACACAUGCAAGUCGAACGAGAAACUCCGGGCUUGCUCGGAGGAGUAAAGUGGCGCACGGGUGAGUAACGCGUGGGUAACCCACCCUUGAAACCGGGAUAACCCCGCGAAAGCGGGACUAAUACCGGAUACGGUUUUUUAGGCUCCGGCCUUUGGAAUUAAAGGUGACCUCUUCAUGAAAGUUGCCGUUCAGGGACGGGCUCGCGUACCAUUAGCUUGUUGGUAGGGUAAUGGCCUACCAAGGCUACGAUGGUUAGCUGGUCUGAGAGGAUGAUCAGCCACACUGGAACUGGAACACGGUCCAGACUCCUACGGGAGGCAGCAGUGAGGAAUUUUGCGCAAUGGGGGAAACCCUGACGCAGCAACGCCG